This 1460-nucleotide ribosomal RNA is filed under the name metagenome. Its description in RNAcentral is "bacterial LSU rRNA". It matches the Rfam family "Bacterial large subunit ribosomal RNA", at positions 1479 to 2925 of the family's 2925-position model. The record is from RNAcentral.
UUCUUGUACAAAGUGGUCCCGGGUAAUACCGGGGUAAGGCUGUAGGGCGUGGUGUAGGUAAAUCCGCACUGCUUGUGCCUGAGAGCUGAUGCAUAGCCGAUUGGGGCGAAUUCGAUGAUCCUAUGCUGCCAAGAAAAGCCUCUAGCGAGUUCAUAGCGGCCCGUACCCCAAACCGACACAGGUGGUCAGGUAGUGAAUACUAAGGCGAUCGAGCGAACUAUGGUUAAGGAACUCGGCAAAAUACCCCCGUAACUUCGGGAUAAGGGGGGCCAGAGAGCGUGACGGGACUUGCUCCUUGAGCGUUGGCUGGCCGCAGAGAUUAGCGAGAAGCGACUGUUUACUAAAAACACAGGUCCGUGCGAAGUCGCAAGACGAUGUAUACGGACUGACGCCUGCCCGGUGCUGGAAGGUUAAGAGGACGGGUUAGUUCUUCGGAGCGAAGCUCAGAAUUUAAGCCCCAGUAAACGGCGGUGGUAACUAUAACCAUCCUAAGGUAGCGAAAUUCCUUGUCGGGUAAGUUCCGACCUGCACGAAUGGCGUAACGACUUCUCGACUGUCUCAACCAUAGGCUCGGCGAAAUUGCACUACGAGUAAAGAUGCUCGUUACGCGCGGCAGGACGGAAAGACCCCGGGACCUUUACUAUAGCUUGAUAUUGGUGUUCGGUUCGGCUUGUGUAGGAUAGGUGGGAGACUGUGAAGCUGGCACGCUAGUGUUGGUGGAGUCAACGUUGAAAUACCACUCUGGUCGAAUUGGGUAUCUAACCUCGGUCCGUAAUCCGGAUCAGGGACAGCGUCAGGUGGGUAGUUUAACUGGGGCGGUUGCCUCCCAAAAUGUAACGGAGGCGCCCAAAGGUUCCCUCAGCCUGGUUGGCAAUCAGGUGUUGAGUGCAAGUGCACAAGGGAGCUUGACUGUGAGACAGACAUGUCGAGCAGGAGCGAAAGCUGGGACUAGUGAUCCGGCACCGGCAAGUGGAAGCGGUGUCGCUCAACGGAUAAAAGGUACCCCGGGGAUAACAGGCUGAUCUUCCCCAAGAGUCCAUAUCGACGGGAUGGUUUGGCACCUCGAUGUCGGCUCGUCGCAUCCUGGGGCUGGAGUCGGUCCCAAGGGUUGGGCUGUUCGCCCAUUAAAGCGGUACGCGAGCUGGGUUUAGAACGUCGUGAGACAGUUCGGUCCCUAUCCGCCGCGCGCGCAGGAGAUUUGAGAAGGGCUGUCCUUAGUACGAGAGGACCGGGACGGACGAACCUCUGGUGUGCCAGUUGUUCCACCAGGAGCACUGCUGGUUGGCUACGUUCGGAAGGGAUAACCGCUGAAAGCAUCUAAGCGGGAAGCUCGCUUCAAGAUUAGAUCUCCCAUCCGUAAUGGAGUAAGGCCCCCGGCUAGACCACCGGGUUGAUAGGCCAGAAGUGGAAGUGCAGUAAUGCAUGCAGCUGACUGGUACUAAUAGGCCGAGGACUUACCU